GGAGGAGUGGCAGAGUGGUUGAAUGCGGCGGUCUUGAAAACCGUUGAGCUCGAAAGGGCUCCGGGGGUUCGAAUCCCUCCUCCUCCGCCA
This 90-nucleotide transfer RNA is filed under the name Hyphomonas sp. Its description in RNAcentral is "tRNA-Ser". It matches the Rfam family "tRNA". Rfam says of the family: Transfer RNA (tRNA) molecules are approximately 80 nucleotides in length. The record is from RNAcentral. Lineage: Bacteria; Pseudomonadati; Pseudomonadota; Alphaproteobacteria; Hyphomonadales; Hyphomonadaceae.